GACGAACGCUGGCGGCGUGCUUAACACAUGCAAGUCGAGCGAGGCUCCUCCUUCGGGAGGAUGCCCUAGCGGCGAACGGGUGAGUAACACGUGGGCAACCUGCCCCUAGCACUGGGAUAACCCCGGGAAACCGGAGCUAAUACCGGAUAUGACCACGGACGGCAUCAUCUCGUGGUGGAAAGAUUUAUCGGCUAGGGAUGGGCCCGCGGCCUAUCAGCUUGUUGGUGGGGAAUGGCCUACCAAGGCGACGACGGGUAGCCGGCCUGAGAGGGCGACCGGCCACACUGGGACUGAGACACGGCCCAGACUCCUACGGGAGGCAGCAGUGGGGAAUAUUGCGCAAUGGGCGAAAGCCUGACGCAGCGACGCCGCGUGAGGGAUGACGGCCUCGG
This 392-nucleotide ribosomal RNA is filed under the name uncultured bacterium. Its description in RNAcentral is "bacterial SSU rRNA". It matches the Rfam family "Bacterial small subunit ribosomal RNA", at positions 28 to 420 of the family's 1533-position model. The record is from RNAcentral.